UGUACGAACAGCGGGGAGAACCAACUUGGUUGUGCGGAUCACUAACCGCCAAAGUCGUACAGGCUACAAAGAGUGUCAGUGCUAUAUGGCAUCGCCAAAGCGUGCAGUAGCUCUGGGCAAACAAAACAGUGAAUAACAGCCUUGGUGAUAGCACACCGGGGCUAUUAU
Molecule: non-coding RNA, 168 nt
Filed under: unclassified sequences
Description: FuFi-1 RNA
Rfam family: FuFi-1 RNA
Source: Rfam by way of RNAcentral